UCAGGUCUCCAAGGUGAACAGCCUCUGGCCAAUGGAACAAUGUAGGCAAGGGAAGUCGGCAAAACGGAUCCGUAACUUCGGGAAAAGGAUUGGCUCUGAGGACUGGGCUCGGGGGUCCCGGCCCCGAACCCGUCGGCUGUCGGCGGAUUGCUCGAGCUGCUCACGCGGCGAGAGCGGGUCGCCGCGUGCCGGCCGGGGGACGGACCGGGAAUCGCCCCUUCGGGGGCUUUCCCCGAGCAU
This 240-nucleotide ribosomal RNA is filed under the name Triticum aestivum (bread wheat). RNAcentral's name for it is "partial small subunit ribosomal RNA". It matches the Rfam family "Eukaryotic large subunit ribosomal RNA", at positions 1859 to 2095 of the family's 3401-position model. The record is from RNAcentral. Lineage: Eukaryota; Viridiplantae; Streptophyta; Magnoliopsida; Poales; Poaceae.